AUUGAGCGCUGGCGGCAUGCCUUACACAUGCAAGUCGAACGGUAACAGGUCUUCGGGUGCUGACGAGUGGCGAACGGGUGAGUAAUACAUCGGAACGUGCCUAGUAGUGGGGGAUAACUACUCGAAAGAGUGGCUAAUACCGCAUGAGAUCUACGGAUGAAAGCAGGGGAUCGCAAGACCUUGUGCUACUAGAGCGGCCGAUGGCAGAUUAGGUAGUUGGUGGGAUAAAAGCUUACCAAGCCGACGAUCUGUAGCUGGUCUGAGAGGACGAUCAGCCACACUGGGACUGAGACACGGCCCAGACUCCUACGGGAGGCAGCAGUGGGGAAUUUUGGACAAUGGGCGAAAGCCUGAUCCAGCAAUGCCGCGUGCAGAAUGAAGGCCUUCGGGUUGUAAACUGCUUUUGUACGGAACGAAAAGCCCUGGGUUAAUACCCUGGGGUCAUGACGGUACCGUAAGAAUAAGCACCGGCUAACUACGUGCCAGCAGCCGCCGCCG
Molecule: ribosomal RNA, 498 nt
Filed under: uncultured bacterium
Lineage: Bacteria
Description: partial 16S ribosomal RNA
Rfam family: Bacterial small subunit ribosomal RNA
Source: RNAcentral